RNAcentral lists this ribosomal RNA (383 nucleotides) under uncultured bacterium. RNAcentral's name for it is "bacterial SSU rRNA". It matches the Rfam family "Bacterial small subunit ribosomal RNA", at positions 974 to 1375 of the family's 1533-position model. The record is from RNAcentral.
CCUGGGUUCAAUGGACAUCGCACCAGGGGUAAUGCCCUGUACCCGCAAGGGACGGUGUUCACGGUGCUGCAUGGCUGUCGUCAGCUCGUGCCGUGAGGUGUUGGGUUAAGUCCCCUAACGAGCGCAACCCUCGGUGCCGGUUAGCCAUCCGGCGCGACUGCCCCGCACAACGGGGAGGAAGGUGGGGAUGGCGUCAAGUCAGCACGGCCCUGACGCCCAGGGCGACACACACACUACAAUGGCGCGGACAAUGGGUGGCCAGCGGGCGACCGCGAGCGAAUCCCCAAACCGCGCCUCAGUUCGGAUGGCAGGCUGCAACCCGCCUGCCUGAAGUCGGAGUUGCUAGUAACCGCCGGUCAGCAUACGGCGGUGAAUACGUUCCC